UUAGAUGAAACAAUAAGUACAACUCUUAUUGUUGAAAAUGAUGAAUAGGUUGUAUAUUAAGCAUGUAAGUAGUAGAAUUUGAAGGAUGAUGAAAGUUCCCCCUCUUUCCUAGCCAAUAUUCCACAGCAAUCUAAAGCUGUUAUUCUCAACAUGUAUAUAUUUACUUGUUUGCUCAUUGCACAAACAUUUAUAUGGCACUUAUUGUAUGUCAGGAACUGUUCUAGGUAUGUAAGAGGACUUUCUAGGAUAUAUACUCUUAUUAUCCUUAAUUUACAGAUGAGAAAAUGCCAACAAAGUAGGGAAUCAUUCUUCUAAGACCACACACUGUAACACUGUAAGUACCCAAACUCAAGUAGUCUGUCUUGAGAAUUUGUACCUUCAGCUACUAAACUAUGUACUUCAGCUUCUCUAAGCUAAGAGUUUACACGCACAGAUUAUAUUUUUUUAAUGAUGAAAAGGCCACAGUGGAGAAGGAUGAUAUAUUAAUAGCUAUAAAUAUGUAACUUUGAACAAUGUAAAAGUCUUGUAAAGACCUGACUGGCUUUCCCAGCGGGGAACUGGGACCUGGACAUUUACUAGAGGGAAGAAAGGGCAGAAAGGUUUAAAACUCAGGAUGUAAGUGGAGUAAGAAGGCUUCAGAUAGGCUCUAAGUAUAUUUGGGAAAAGGAAUUGUGGAAAGUAAGAUGGGGGCCCACAUGGGCUUCUGAAUAGACCUGUUUUGUAACAUGAGCCAGGUCUGGCCACUCUAAUCCAUCUGUUGUUUUGUCCACUUUGUUUUCUUCUGGCGGUUUUUGUUGUUUUCUUCUCCCUUCCUCACCUCCUCCUUCCUCCCCUCAUCUUUCCCAUCCUUAUUCACUAAUGCCAGGUUCAUACAUUUUAUGGAGCCAUCUAAGAUUUUUUGUUUAUUGAACUUGGAGUACCUGGGCUCCCCUUUGAAGCACCCUCAGUGUGAUCUGUGGCCCGGCGGUAACUUCUGGCCCACGCUUGUGUGUGGAUUUGUGUUCUUCCACACUGUGUUGUGUUUUUAAUUGAAUCAGUGGCAAUAGCAGCCAGAAUAAGCUAUUUACAGCAAACACAUGAGCACAGAUGCACAUGCAUGCAAACAUGCGCGCACACACACACACACACACACACACACACACCUUAGUUUAAAAUAAUAGUUUUUUUCUCACACGUGUAGCAUAUAUAUCAUGACAGUUGCACUGAAUUGUCUUCACUCUGGACCUACCUUGAUGAGACAGCCACUAUCUGGAAUGUUAGUAGUUACCGGAGCAGAGUGCCAAGAGCUUUGGAAGGUCAUACAUCAGCAAUUAAAAUCUGGUUUACAUGUUACUGAACAGAACUAUUCACAUGGCCCCAUCCAGUCAGGAGGAGCCUAGGCAAAAGUAGUUGGUGAGAGCUCAAAUAGCAGAUAUCCCCUUUAUGAAAUUGCAUGGCAAGUCUCCCAUUUACCAACCACCACUACCCCAUCUCCCUGAUUAGGUGCCUGUAACCAUGUUUAUUGUUCUUGCAUUGCUUAUUUUCUGAGAGAGGUUUUAAGGGGGAAGGAUUUUUAACCUUAUCUAUCAAAAGUAAAAUACAUACAUAUAUAAAUAAUACAUACAUACGUAAAGACAAAAGGGAACCUAGGCUUCAAGAAAAAUGGAAUUGUUUUGUUGCUAUUGUUUUCUGCUUUUUUCUGCUUGUUUUUUGGAAGCUAAAAAAAGUUUCUGGUUGUUUAAUAUUAUGUAUUCUGAAAAAAAGGUCAGUCAAAAUUUAUUUUUUUCCCUUGAUGAUAUCACUUGUCUAAAUAAAUCUAGGAUAGGGUACAUGUGGAUUAUUUUUUUCUUAAAGUAUCUUUUAAAGUUUCACUUUGGGCUUAGGUUUAGAAAAUAUUAUUUGAUAUAUAUGGUUUGUUGCAAACAUGAGAUUAUAGUAGUUCAGGUUUGAAAAGAGCAAUAGCCUACCCAGAAUCUAAAAUAAACUGCAUGUAAGGUAUAUGAUGUCAUUCUGUUUUCCUUCUGCUAAAUUAUUUUAUAUGCAUACACAUUUUCAUCUUAACAGCAAUAGGGAAAGAGUUGAAAUUAGUUGAUAUUUACAUGCCAGAUAAAACAAUUAUUAAUGUAAAUAGAUUGAAUGUGAAUUUCAUUAAAAAAUUUGGUCAACCUAAUAUUUUUGUAGUUUAGAUGAAUCAUAUUUGGGAUUUUUGAAUGCAUAGUUGAAAGGAAGAUUAAAAGACUUUCCAAAUGGCACUGGGCACUACUGAAUCAAACCAUAACCUUUUGUUUACCAUUUCAUAUCAGAGGGUGAUCAAUUCUAAAUGAUCCACAUUUCAGGAAUUGGUUCAAAGAGUCUAAAAAUUGGUAUUUCACUUACCACUACUGUGAGAAGGCUUCUACAUAUUUCAGAGAACAAAUAUUUUUUAAACAUUUUACUAUUAAAUUGGGACAAAUAUACUAUUUUACUCUGAAUAUGAAGUGUCAUACUUUAAAGUAUAUUAAAAUUUAGAUGGCUCAAUAUGUAUUUCCAAAUCAAAUGAAUGGUCACGGACAGCUGAGUGAAUAAUUUUGAGGAAUGACAACUCAAUGUAUUUUUCCUUUCAAAUGAAAGCUGUAAAAACUCACCCUGCGUGGUCUACUUUUAGAAGUUAAUAGAAGUUCAAUCUAUUUUUGUAUUUCAAUUGUACCUGAAUUUAAAAUGCCAGGUUUCAUCCAUCUCUUAUGGUAGCUCUUAAGUCUAACCAUUUCCCAAAAUAUUUCCUAAAGUGCAUAUAAAAGCCUAUCAGAAAAAUAAAACCUUAUGGUAUAUUGGCUUUUGUGCAGAUUAAUCAAAAUGUGGAUAGUUAAAAAAACUCUUCUUAAAACAAGAUUAUUUAAAUUUUGAGUGAAGUGUCAUUUAGUGAAUUGUGAUAGGCUCCAUUUCUAUUUUUCUAAGAGUGGAGUUGAAAUCACAGAAUAUUCAGGGAAGUAUAAGUAUCCACAAUUUCUAGAGGAGAGGGGAUUUUUGUAUCUGUCUCCUAAAGCAAAAGAAAUAAAAGCAAAAUAAACAAAUUUGGCUUAAUUAAACUUAAAAGCUUUUGCAUAGCAGAGGAAAUCAUCAGUAAAACUAAAAGACAACUUACAGAAUUGAAGAAAAUAUUUUAAAAUGAUAUGACUGACGAGUUAAUAUUCAUAACAUAUAAACAGCUCAUACAUCUCAAUAUCAGAAAUAAAUCAAAAAAUGAGCAGAAGACCUUGAAUAGACAUUUUUAUAAAGAAGACAUACUGACGGCUAAUAGGGCUAUGAAAGGAUGCUUAACAUCACUAAUAGAAAAAUGCAAAUCAAAAUAAUCAUGAGAAUCACCUCACAUCUGUCAGAAUGGCUAUUAUAUAUUAUACAAUACAGAUAUAGACAUAUAUAUCAUAUAUAUACAAUAUAGAUAUACAUAUAUACCAUAUAUAUACACAAUCUGAUUAUAUAUAUAGCACAUAUAUAUGUAUACACACACAAUAUGAAAUAUUACUCAGCCACAAAAGAAUGAAACUCUGCCAUUUGCUGCAAGGUGGAUGGAUCUAGAGAAUAUUAUGCUUAGUGAAAUAAAUCAGACAAAGACAAAUAUCAUAUAUUGUCACUUAUGUGUUGAAUCUAAAAAUAAAACAAAUGAAUAUAUAAAUAUAUGGCAAAAUUGAAGUAGAAUCAAGGAUACAGAAAACAAACUAGUGGUUACCAGAAUGGAGAGGGAAGGGAGGAGGGCAAGAUAGGGGUAAGCAAUUAAUAGAUACAAACCACUAUGUAUAAAAUAGAUAAGAAACAGGGAUAUAUUAUAUAGUGCAAGGGAUUAUAGCUAUUAUCUUUUAAUAACUUAAUGGAAUAUAAUCUGUAAAAAUACUGAAUCACUAUGCUGUACACCUAAAACUAGUAUAAUAUUGUAAAUCAACUAUACUUUAAUUAAAAAUAAUAAAGGUCGGAGUUCCCAUCGUGGCUCAGUGGUUAAUGAAUCCGACAAAGAACCAUGAGGUUUCGGGUUUGAUUCCUGGCCUUGUUCAGUGGGUUAAGGAUCCAGCGUUGCCAUGAGCUGUGGUGUAGGUUGCAGAUGCGGCUCAGAUCCCGCGUUGCUGUGGCUGUGGCUUAGGCCAUUGGCUACAGCUCCGGUUAGACCCCUAGCCUGGGAACCUCCAUGUGCCGCAGAAGCUGCCCAAGAAAUGGCAAAAAGACAAAAUAAUAAUAAUAAUAAUAAUAAAGAAU
Molecule: long non-coding RNA, 4203 nt
Filed under: Sus scrofa (pig)
Lineage: Eukaryota; Metazoa; Chordata; Mammalia; Artiodactyla; Suidae
Description: lncRNA (ENSSSCG00000054255.1)
Source: RNAcentral